CACCCGAGACUCAGUGAAAUUGAACUCGCUGUGAAGAUGCAGUGUACCCGCGGCAAGACGGAAAGACCCCGUGAACCUUUACUAUAGCUUGACACUGAACAUUGAGCCUUGAUGUGUAGGAUAGGUGGGAGGCUUUGAAGCGUGGACGCCAGUCUGCGUGGAGCCGACCUUGAAAUACCACCCUUUAAUGUUUGAUGUUCUAACGUGGACCCGUAAUCCGGGUUGCGGACAGUGUCUGGUGGGUAGUUUGACUGGGGCGGUCUCCUCCUAAAGAGUAACGGAGGAGCACGAAGGUUGGCUAAUCCUGGUCGGACAUCAGGAGGUUAGUGCAAUGGCAUAAGCCAGCUUGACUGCGAGCGUGACGGCGCGAGCAGGUGCGAAAGCAGGUCAUAGUGAUCCGGUGGUUCUGAAUGGAAGGGCCAUCGCUCAACGGAUAAAAGGUACUCCGGGGAUAACAGGCUGAUACCGCCCAAGAGUUCAUAUCGACGGCGGUGUUUGGCACCUCGAUGUCGGCUCAUCACAUCCUGGGGCUGAAGUAGGUCCCAAGGGUAUGGCUGUUCGCCAUUUAAAGUGGUACGCGAGCUGGGUUUAGAACGUCGUGAGACAGUUCGGUCCCUAUCUGCCGUGGGCGCUGGAGAACUGAGGGGGGCUGCUCCUAGUACGAGAGGACCGGAGUGGACGCAUCACUGGUGUUCGGGUUGUCAUGCCAAUGGCACU
This 717-nucleotide ribosomal RNA is filed under the name Salmonella enterica. Its description in RNAcentral is "partial 23S ribosomal RNA". It matches the Rfam family "Bacterial large subunit ribosomal RNA", at positions 2023 to 2739 of the family's 2925-position model. The record is from RNAcentral. Lineage: Bacteria; Pseudomonadati; Pseudomonadota; Gammaproteobacteria; Enterobacterales; Enterobacteriaceae.